GACGAACGCUGGCGGCGUGCUUAACACAUGCAAGUCGAACGGAAAGGCCCUGCUUUUGUGGGGUGCUAGAGUGGCGAACGGGUGAGUAACACGUGAGUCACCUUCCCUUGCCUUUGGGAUAACUUCAGGAAACUGGGGCUAAUACCGGAUAGUAGCUCCUGCUGCAUGGUGGGGUUUGGAAAGUUUCGGCGGUUGGGGAUGGACUCGCGGCUUAUCAGCUUGUUGGUGGGGUAGUGGCUUACCAAGGCUUUGACGGGUAGCCGGCCUGAGAGGGUGAACGGCCACAUUGGGACUGAGAUACGGCCCAGACUCCUACGGGAGGCAGCAGGGGGGAAUAUUGCACAAUGGGCGGAAGCCUGAUGCGGCAACGCCGCGUGCGGGAUGAAGGCCUUCGGGUUGUAAACCGCUUUCGCCUGUGACGAAGCGUGAGUGACGGUAAUGGGUAAAGAAGCACCGGCUAACUACGUG
RNAcentral lists this ribosomal RNA (468 nucleotides) under uncultured bacterium. RNAcentral's name for it is "partial 16S ribosomal RNA". It matches the Rfam family "Bacterial small subunit ribosomal RNA", at positions 28 to 507 of the family's 1533-position model. The record is from RNAcentral.